RNAcentral lists this ribosomal RNA (238 nucleotides) under uncultured bacterium. RNAcentral describes it as "partial 16S ribosomal RNA". It matches the Rfam family "Bacterial small subunit ribosomal RNA", at positions 96 to 334 of the family's 1533-position model. The record is from RNAcentral.
UGGCGGACGGGGAGGUAAUGUCUGGGAAACUGCCUGAUGGAGGGGGAUAACUACUGGAAACGGUAGCUAAUACCGCAUAACGUCGCAAGACCAAAGAAGGGGGGACCGUUCGGGCCUCUUGCCAUCGGAUGUGCCCAGAUGGGAUUAGCUAGUAGGUGGGGUAACGGCUCACCUAGGCGACGAUCCCUAGCUGGUCUGAGAGGAUGACCAGCCACACUGGAACUGAGACACGGUCCAG